UACGGAGGGUGCAAGCGUUAAUCGGAAUUACUGGGCGUAAAGCGCGCGUAGGCGGUUUGUUAAGCUAGAUGUGAAAGCCCAGGGCUCAACCUUGGAACUGCAUUUAGAACUGGCAGACUUGAGUACAGCAGAGGAUAGUGGAAUUUCUAGUGUAGCGGUGAAAUGCGUAGAUAUUAGAAGGAACACCAGUGGCGAAGGCGACUGUCUGGGCUGAUACUGACGCUGAGGUGCGAAAGCGUGGGGAGCAAACAGG
Molecule: ribosomal RNA, 253 nt
Filed under: uncultured bacterium
Lineage: Bacteria
Description: partial 16S ribosomal RNA
Rfam family: Bacterial small subunit ribosomal RNA
Source: RNAcentral